This 449-nucleotide ribosomal RNA is filed under the name uncultured bacterium. RNAcentral describes it as "partial 16S ribosomal RNA". It matches the Rfam family "Bacterial small subunit ribosomal RNA", at positions 29 to 523 of the family's 1533-position model. The record is from RNAcentral.
AGCGAACGCUGGCGGCAGGCCUAACACAUGCAAGUCGAACGAAGUCUUCGGACUUAGUGGCGGGCGGGUGAGUAACACGUGGGAACGUGCCUUUAGGUUCGGAAUAACUCAGGGAAACUUGUGCUAAUACCGAAUGUGCCCUUCGGGGGAAAGAUUUAUCGCCUUUAGAGCGGCCCGCGUCUGAUUAGCUAGUUGGUGAGGUAAAGGCUCACCAAGGCGACGAUCAGUAGCUGGUCUGAGAGGAUGAUCAGCCACAUUGGGACUGAGACACGGCCCAAACUCCUACGGGAGGCAGCAGUAGGGAAUCUUGCGCAAUGGGCGAAAGCCUGACGCAGCCAUGCCGCGUGAAUGAUGAAGGUCUUAGGAUUGUAAAAUUCUUUCACCGGGGACGAUAAUGACGGUACCCGGAGAAGAAGCCCCGGCUAACUUCGUGCCAGCAGCCGCAGUAA